This 1860-nucleotide ribosomal RNA is filed under the name Nostoc sp. Esp20. Its description in RNAcentral is "bacterial SSU rRNA". The stretch from base 1 to 1395 matches the Rfam family "Bacterial small subunit ribosomal RNA". The record is from RNAcentral. Lineage: Bacteria; Bacillati; Cyanobacteriota; Cyanophyceae; Nostocales; Nostocaceae.
GGUGAGUAACGCGUGAGAAUCUAGCUACAGGUCGGGGACAACCACUGGAAACGGUGGCUAAUACCGGAUAAGCCGGAAGGUGAAAGAUUAAUUGCCUGGAGAUGAGCUCGCGUCUGAUUAGCUAGUUGGUAGAGUAAGAGCCUACCAAGGCGACGAUCAGUAGCUGGUCUGAGAGGAUGAUCAGCCACACUGGGACUGAGACACGGCCCAGACUCCUACGGGAGGCAGCAGUGGGGAAUUUUCCGCAAUGGGCGAAAGCCUGACGGAGCAAUACCGCGUGAGGGAGGAAGGCUCUUGGGUUGUAAACCUCUUUUCUCAAGGAAUAAGAUAUGAAGGUACUUGAGGAAUAAGCAUCGGCUAACUCCGUGCCAGCAGCCGCGAUAAUACGGAGGAUGCAAGCGUUAUCCGGAAUGAUUGGGCGUAAAGGGUCCGCAGGUGGCAUUGAAAGUCUGCUGUCAAAGAGCAAGGCUUAACCUUGUAAAGGCAGUGGAAACUACAAAGCUAGAGUGCGUUCGGGGUAGCAGGAAUUCCUGGUGUAGCGGUGAAAUGCGUAGAGAUCAGGAAGAACACCGGUGGCGAAAGCGUGCUACUAGGCCUGCACUGACACUGAGGGACGAAAGCUAGGGGAGCGAAUGGGAUUAGAUACCCCAGUAGUCCUAGCCGUAAACGAUGGAUACUAGGCGUGGCUUGUAUCGACCCGAGCCGUGCCGGAGCUAACGCGUUAAGUAUCCCGCCUGGGGAGUACGCACGCAAGUGUGAAACUCAAAGGAAUUGACGGGGGCCCGCACAAGCGGUGGAGUAUGUGGUUUAAUUCGAUGCAACGCGAAGAACCUUACCAAGGCUUGACAUGUCGUGAAUCUUGAUGAAAGUUGAGAGUGCCUUCGGGAGCACGAACACAGGUGGUGCAUGGCUGUCGUCAGCUCGUGUCGUGAGAUGUUGGGUUAAGUCCCGCAACGAGCGCAACCCUCGUUUUUAGUUGCCAGCAUUAAGUUGGGCACUCUAGAGAGACUGCCGGUGACAAACCGGAGGAAGGUGGGGAUGACGUCAAGUCAGCAUGCCCCUUACGUCUUGGGCUACACACGUACUACAAUGCUACGGACAAAGGGCAGCUACACAGAGAUGUGAUGCAAAUCCAGGAAACCGUAGCUCAGUUCAGAUCGAAGGCUGCAACUCGCCUUCGUGAAGUCGGAAUCGCUAGUAAUUGCAGGUCAGCAUACUGCGGUGAAUUCGUUCCCGGGCCUUGUACACACCGCCCGUCACACCAUGGAAGCUGGUCACGCCCGAAGUCAUUACCUCAACCUUUAGGGGAGGGGGACGCCGAAGGUAGGACUGGUGAUUGGGGUGAAGUCAUAACAAGGUAGCCGUACCGGAAGGUGUGGCUAGAUCACCUCCUUUAUAGGGAGACCUACCCAACUCAGAAAUCAGAAACACGAAAGUGAAGAGAUGUCAGAGAGGGUCUACUCUAGGUCGGUCGCAGAAAUUGUCAGGCUUUCAAACUAGAAUGAGGUUCGUAGGGGCUAUUAGCUCAGGUGGUUAGAGCGCACCCCUGAUAAGGGUGAGGUCCCUGGUUCGAGUCCAGGAUGGCCCACCUGAAAACAGUGAACAGUGAGCAGUAAACAGUGGUCAGUAAAAAAAACUGGUAACUGGUAACUGAAAACUGAAUGAUGGGGGUUUAGCUCAGUUGGUAGAGCGCCUGCUUUGCAAGCAGGAUGUCAGCGGUUCGAGUCCGCUAACCUCCAGAUGGGAAAAAAGUCAGCAACUAACGGCAAAAAGAAAGUUAGACUGCUGGGUAAAAUUCCAGCCAGAACCCUGAAAACUGCAUAGAAACGCGAUUGAAGCAGGCAGACACAAGUAUCCAAU